UUAAAUGCUGGAGAUUGGUUCUGUGCCAAGACAAGAAAGGUUCCUAUCCUCAGAAAGCUUGUGUUCUAGCUGGGAAAAGGCAUAAAAUAAGCACAGUCGCACACAGGAAUAUGACAAAAAUGCCAGCUAAUAGUGAAUAACAUGCAGAUGAUAAUCUUAGAGUAAAUGUAAAACGGGAGUGGGUGACUGUUUUAUAUUGAGUGCUUUGAGAAGGCAUCUAUCUCUGAAGGUGUGACAUUUAAGCUGAGGCCUUGGGAAAAAAUGUCUGACCUCUUUGAGCUACAAGUCUCCCAUCUGUAAUAUGGGAAACAUUAAGAUGUGCCCAGACAACAGGAUUUUAGAAAAGAGCAAAUGAGACUGUAAAAGUAAAGAACUUAGUGUCCACUAAAAAUCUUGCAAGUGCAAAGAUUUAACAAACAAGUGUUCCAUUCCUCUAUGAUGAUACUACACUUGAUUCAGGAUUUCUCAACACAUGCUUGAGUCAGGGUCAUAACAAUAAUGGCUUAAGUUUACUGAGCUCUUUUUUACUAUAUGCCAGGCAGUAUUCUCAAUAUUUUGCAUGUAUUAAGUGAUUUCAUUUUCUCAACACCCCUAUGAAGCAAAUACUUCUGUGAGCCCCAUGUUACAAAUGGAGAAACCAAGGCUCAUGGAGAUUAACAUAUCUCAUUUUGGACUAGCCAUCUUUCAAGAGCUCAACAGCCACGUGCUAUUAAUGGCUACCACAUUAAAGGCUCCAAGUCUAGAUGGAAAAUAAACAAGUAAACCUAUAAACACAGUUAAUAGAUGUUUUUCAGCUGCAAUCUGUACUGUGACUGGAAUGAGAAAGCCUUAAUUCAUACCAUCUUCCGAUGAUACAAGACAAGCAAGUUUGUAAUUUAAUAAACGCAGUCAAACCUGA
Long non-coding RNA from Homo sapiens (human), 898 nucleotides. RefSeq lists it as uncharacterized. Lineage: Eukaryota; Metazoa; Chordata; Mammalia; Primates; Hominidae. The transcript is spliced from 3 exons. The record is from RefSeq and is a predicted model, not a curated record.